GGGACGAACGCUGGCGGCGUGCUUAACACAUGCAAGUCGAGCGAACCUUCGGGUUAGCGGCGAACGGGUGAGUAACACGUGGGCAACCUGCCCCGAGCUCUGGGAUAACUCCGGGAAACCGGGGCUAAUACCGGAUAUGACCCGAGAAGACAUCUUCUCGGGUGGAAAGUUUUUCGGCUCGGGAUGGGCCCGCGGCCUAUCAGCUUGUUGGUGGGGUAACGGCCUACCAAGGCGACGACGGGUAGCC
RNAcentral lists this ribosomal RNA (247 nucleotides) under uncultured bacterium. Its description in RNAcentral is "partial small subunit ribosomal RNA". It matches the Rfam family "Bacterial small subunit ribosomal RNA", at positions 27 to 288 of the family's 1533-position model. The record is from RNAcentral.